Molecule: long non-coding RNA, 2625 nt
Organism: Pocillopora verrucosa
Lineage: Eukaryota; Metazoa; Cnidaria; Anthozoa; Scleractinia; Pocilloporidae
Source: RefSeq, a predicted model, not a curated record
GUUGAGCUAGAAUAUUGCUGGCCACAUUUUAAUUUCUUUACAUCCUGUUUGUUUGAAUUACAGUCUUUGAGUAUAUGACAGUCAUUGUUCGUGAAGUUCAUCAGAUGAACCAGAGCUCGAUUUGUUUUCACAGCCACAUAUUAAUCAGCGUUCAAACGAAGAAUAUUGUGCUUUAUGUUGUUUAGAAUAAGGUCUCUCGAACACAUUAGGAUCACGAGGAAUCGUUGUUUGCUUUUUGGAUAUCAAACACUCGGCGAUUUUGAACAGGUAUUGAGCUGUUGACGAAGCCAUUCGCGAUUCACUACCAACACAGUUUGAUUUCAGAACUCUCGACACCAUGUACGAACCUCACCUGCUUACUCCAUCCCAGGAACGGCCGCGCAGCACUCGGUCCCAUUCUCUCAAGCCAAUUAGUCAACCUAAUAUUCUGACUCAGAGAAAGCGACUUUACAGCCUCCCAUCCAAACCUGUAAUCCCGCCUCACAUCACAAUACAAGCCUGCCAAGACAGCAGCCAAGAAAGCUUCAGUGACGAAGAAGAACAAAGAAGUGGAUGGAGUCAUGAAAGUAUGGCGUGGUACACUCCCGUUGUUGGACUAUCCUGUAGUCUUGUGAUGUACCUAUGGUCAUGUAUGCUGGCCUACUAUUCGUCAACAUAACUCUCUGGAAACUAUCGGGGUAUCAGGAAGAAAUUUAAAACCAACGAAAGAUGGAAGGAGCAGCCGCGCUUACAUAAAGAGGAAUGGAGUCGAAACCAAAAUUCACCAAAAUUAGAAACGCCACAGAGUAAGGAAUGAUACAGUCCAAUGAAAAAAGUAGUAACAUGGAAGAUAGAGGGAAAUAAAAUGGGAAAUAAAUUUGAAAAUGAAAUGGGAAUUACAAAUGGAAAUAAUAGACAACAAUUAUGUGAAUAAUAGACAGAUAUAGCACCGCGUUUACGUAAAACGUGAGCGGCAAGAGUGAUCACGUGACCCCGAUUUUCCCGUUAUAUUUCACGUUUGCCGGCCGUACCUUGCUGUUUCUACGUUAAAGUGAGCUGUUUCACGUCUGCAGUUUACGUAAGAUUUUCUUCUCCUUUUCUCUCACAGAGUAGAAGUUAGUUGCCGCAAAAUUGCAGAAUAAGUAUUUCCCAUAACUUAUACAAGGGCAGAUGAAGUUUCAUGUUUAAAAUCCUUCAAAUACCUUACUUUUCGUCAGCAGACUGCUGCAAGAACUCACGUUGACUCACGAGACAGCUUCAUCGAAAAUCGAAGUGACGUGAGCUCAGUCCCGCGUAGCCAAAGCAAUAAAGUGAACGUUAUUUUACGUGAAGCGUGAUAGGGCGAACGUCAUGUUUGCCUGUUCGAGUAAACGCGGUGCUUAAUCAAUAGGGCGUUUUAAUUCCAUUAUCAUGUCUGAUAAAUUCUAUAUUUUUCAAAAUCAAGAAGAGUAAACGGCAUCGAUAACACAGCUAGUUUAUUUUGUUUGUUCGUAAUUUAAAAAAAUUGACGAUAAAUGUCCCGUUUGCACGAAUGAGCAGAAAAGCUUCACAUUCAAAAUUGCUUUUACGUCUUAUUUUCUAUUCAAGAUCUGACUUAAUUUGACUCUAUAUUCCUAGUAUUCAGUAAAGGGGCCUUUAUCAUAUCUCUAAGUACAUAUGUGCGCCAUGAAUGGUCAAUUUAGUGAGCGGUAUUUCAGUAUACGGCACACGCUAAAUUAAAAAGUUUGUUUGAAUUGAAAGCCUUAUCCUCUAUUUGAACCCAGAGAUGUUAUAGAUACCUUACUAAUCUCGUGGUCUCGGUCCGUACUGUAAGUUAAGUAACCUCGUUCUUCCGUAAGUUACAGUACCAACCUAGAACUCGGUUAGUAAGGGAUGAAUCCUAGCUGAAGUGCACUCCUUCUUCUACUUCCUCUUCUUCUUCUUUCUUGUACCUCAAGAGUUCUUAAUUAAAUUCUUUAUUAGCUUUCCAUCUCUUUGCUUUUCAUACCAUUCUUUUCAAUUUUGAAAUUUGGUGUAGCUUAUGAGAACAAGUUUGUUUCCUUUUAAGAAAAACACAGUUCAACUUACCUAAUUGAUAUUUACAAAGUGUUGACGUCAUUUAUGAAAAGCUUUGUUAUCAUCCAACUGUAAAAUGCUUAAGUGUAGGUGGGAAGACAUUGUAAUGCAAGCGAAUGAAAAUAACGUACUGUUACUUUUAAAGGUUUGGUUUUUUUGUAAUUAACAUAAUACUUUACUUGAUAUUUCACAAGAUGAGAGUUACCAUUUAGCCAGUAAUUAACAACAACUUUAAGGCAUAUUUUGUUGAAACUUUAAUUCGUAAACCUAAUGUUCCCCUGAUUCAUGAAGAAACUUUAUUUUGAUGUAACAAUGAAUGUAUUUAAAGUGUUCGUUCGCCGGCGAACGAUCAGUGGAGCUCUCAUAAAACAUGGGGGAAAACAUGCUGAAGUCGUACAGUUUAACUUUGGACCUUUUUGAUUCUUAAUUUUUUUUUUCGGAAAACGUUCUUCACAGUUAUAUUAAGUAAUUGUCUUUGAAACGUUCACCACUUCUUUUGACAUCAUAAAUAUAAAUAUUAAUAAUGAUAAUAAUAACAAUACUAAUAAUUAGUUAAUUAAUAAAAUUUGCCAUAGAGCUUUGUUUAUGUCA